RNAcentral lists this ribosomal RNA (535 nucleotides) under uncultured bacterium. Its description in RNAcentral is "bacterial SSU rRNA". It matches the Rfam family "Bacterial small subunit ribosomal RNA", at positions 355 to 873 of the family's 1533-position model. The record is from RNAcentral.
UAGGGAAUCUUCCGCAAUGGGCGAAAGNUGACGGAGCAACGCGCGUGAGUAAUGAAGGUCUUCGGAUCGUAAAACUCUGUUAUUAGGGAAGAACAUAUGUGUAAGUAACUGUGCACAUCUUGACGGUACCUAAUCAGAAAGCCACGGCUAAUUACGUGCCAGCAGCCGCGGUAAUACGUAGGUGGCAAGCGUUAUCCGGAAUUAUUGGGCGUAAAGNGGGCGUAGCGGNUUUUUUAAGUCUGAUGUGAAAGCCCACGCUUCACCCGUGAAGGGUCAUUGGAAACUGGAAAACUUGAGUGCAGAAGAGGAAAGUGGAAUUCCUUGUGUGGCGGUGAAAUGCGCAGAGAUAUGGAAGGAACACCAGUUGGGCGAAGGCGACUUUUCUGGCCUGUUAAACUGGAACGCUUGAUUGUGGCGAAAGCGUUGGGGGAUCAAAACAGGAUUAGGAUACCCCUGGGUAGGUCCCACCGCCCGGUAAAACGGAUGGAGUUGCUAAAGUGUGUUAAGGGGGGUUUCCCGCCCCCUAAGUGCCUGC